Long non-coding RNA from Vespula vulgaris, 1190 nucleotides. RefSeq lists it as uncharacterized. NCBI's taxonomy places the organism in Eukaryota, Metazoa, Arthropoda, Insecta, Hymenoptera, Vespidae. The record is from RefSeq and is a predicted model, not a curated record. The transcript has 6 exons.
ACAAACUUUAAUAGCAAUAAAGAACUUACAUAUGUACAGUUAGCAAUUUUACAAGCUUUCUUUAAAAAAUAUAUCCGGAACAUUCGUGAAUCACAUCCUCUCAGAUCAAGUUUCCUUCAAAGCAAACAACCCGUUGUUAUGUGUCAAAUUUUCUCGAUGCCUUGAAACGUUCUACUCGCUCCGAAUUUACUCCAAACUCCCCUAGGCCGGCUUGUAACAAUAUGUACGAUUCUUAAAAUUAGACGUUUUUGUUUCACAUCGGCGUAUAACAAAAACUGAUUUUUCGUCCGAGAUUGUUAUUACUACAUGCGUAAACAGAUGUGUAUAUAAGAGAAUAAAUGAGUGAGAUAUAGAUGAGUAUGAUGAGUCAGUCGGAAGAAAACAAUAACAUUGGAAAGACAAAAAAGAGGACAUUCUACAGAAUAUGUGUCUAACGAAUCGUUAGUAAUUCAUAUAUUAUAUUCUAUACAUAUUGGUGAUACUAAUUGAAUACUACUCAUGACAUCUGCCACAUUCAAAAUAUGCGUAAUAUGUAAUAAAGAUGAGAACCGAAGGAUAAUGUAUAUAUAAAAGAUUCAGACAUAAAUAUGUAUAUUGAAUAUAUAUUGAAUUAAUUUGAACUCCCAAAAUAAUCAUCGAUUUUGACUUCAUGCAGUUUCUUUCAUUGUAUAGGACAAUCAUUUUUCAGUAAUCGUAUAAAUUCCUUUAAAAUUAUCAACAGCUGAAUUUAUUUGAUCCUAUUCAACAUAUAAAAAGAUUAUCAUAUCAAAUUCAUUUCGAAAUAAUGCUGUCUAAUUAUGUCUUAUUUUUAUUAUUAGAUGAUGAUGUGUUACAUUUGAUAGAAAUAAUAUAAGUACUUAGUGUUUGAUAUCAAUGUUAUAUUUUAUAUUUGCUGGAUUACAAAUGAAUAAGAAGUGAUCAUUCAAAACAUGAAAAUAAGCUCUUGAUCUUUACAAUUGGAUAACAAUAGAGAGCAAAAAACUUAUGAAGUAAAUCUUUGCAAUACAAUGCAUAGAUUUCAAGCAGAUAUGUUUGUAUCAUUACACUAUUCCAAAUUAAAAAAAUAAUGCAUUUAACAGAUAGAUUUUUCUAGUCCUUUUCUGCUGAAUUUUUGACUGAUAUAGACUCUUAUGAGACAUAAGGAUGCUACAGUGCUUAUCUCCGUAGAAUGAGAUUUCAUUGAUCAGAAG